RNAcentral lists this long non-coding RNA (9681 nucleotides) under Marmota monax (woodchuck). Lineage: Eukaryota; Metazoa; Chordata; Mammalia; Rodentia; Sciuridae. The record is from RNAcentral.
CCACAAUCACCAUGAUAUACUUUGCUACCACAGGCCCAAAGCAACAGGGCCAAGCAACCAUGAACUGGAACCUCUGAAACUGUGAGUCAAAAUAAAACUUUCUUAAGUGAUUAUCUCAGGUUAUUUUGUCAAGGUGAUGGAAAGCUGACUAACACAGUGGUCUGACUCAAGUCUUAUAAUACAUUAGACAGUAACUAUUUCUAUUUGUCAAGAGCCAUCUUGGGCUAUGUGUGGACCAAACCCACAUCAUAGUCAGUGAAUAGGAAAAUCUGGUAUGUGGGAACCUCCAGUGACAAUCCUGCUGGUUAAGACCACCCAGAUACAUGUGAAUUUCCAUUCAGCUCUGCCAGGUCCCACACAGCACCCCAGAUAGGGUGACCUGCUGUAGCCACACAGCCUCUCAGAGAUGGGUGUGGCCUGCCAAGAUACCAAUCAACCUGUUGACUGCAAGACAUCAUGAAGCAAGACUCCACCCCUGAAGCCUUAUCCCUGCCUUUGAUGUACCCCCUUAAAUAAGCCACCGGAGGGAGCCAUUUUCUAAUUGCUCUGUUCCAGCUCCUGUAUGGACUGGAAGAUCCUAUCAGGUACUCCCUUAAAUCUAUAAUUCUGACUUUGUCUUUUAUUUCUUCCCUAAUUACUUCAGACAUUAUUUUCUCAGGUGGCUUAUCCCCUACUGAACAGGAAAAAUUACCCUGAUGAGGUGCUGCCUGCCCUGCAAUAUCUAUUACUGAGAGCCAACACUUUACAAAAGGAAACACAAGUCCUUCUUAAAGGGCAUUUUAAGUGAUUCAACUGUCAGAAUUCCACUUUCAAAAACUCAGUUUAGGGGGAAAAAAGAAACUUGCAAAAGGCAAGAAGAAAAAAUAACCAUUAAUAUACAAACAUGGUCUGAGUAAUCUUCUAUGCAUGAGAAUCCUAAAUAAUAUAUCUAAUUCAUGUUAUUUAAUCAAACUUCUUUAAUACCAUAUCUUUGUUCAUUCAUCUCUCACCAUUAGUUGUUCAAUGGUACUAGUAUUGUAAGGCACUGAGUAUAAAAAAAUGAGUAAGAUAGUCAAUGCAGGAUUAGAGUUGUGGCUCAUGGUGGAGCACUUGCCUAGCAUGUGUGAGGCACUGGGUUUAAUUCUCAGCACCGCAUAUAAACAAAUAAAUAAAAUAAAGGUCCAUCAAGAACUUUAAAAAUAUUUUUUAAAAAAAGAUAGUCACAUAGAGAAUAGUCAGAGAUAUUGUCAGAAUAGCAAAUAAUUGUCUUAUAAUAUGUGUAUAAUAGACAUAUAUUAUGUGCUAUAAUUUUUAAAUUACAAUAAUAGAAAAAAAUUUUUUUGAUUAUUAGCAGGGCAUGGUGGUACAUUCCUGCAAUACCAGUGACUCAGGAAGCUGAGGCAGAAAGAUUACAAACUAGCCUGGGGGAUUUAGCAAGACUAUAUCCCCAAACAGAAAAUAAAAAGGAGCCAGGCAUGGUAGUGCAUACCUAAAUCCCAGUGAUUCAGGAACCUGAGACAGGAGGAUGGCAGUUUAGCAAGGCCCUUAGCAACUUGGUGAGACCCCUCUCUUGAAAUAAAUACAGAAAGGGCUCAAAAUGUAGCUCAGUGGUAAAAUACCCCUGGGUUCAAUCCCCAGAACCAAAAUGAAAUGAAAUAAAAUAAACUGGGCUGGGGACGUAGUUCAGCAGUAAAAAGCCCUGGGUUUGAUCCCCAGUUCUGGGGGUGGGGGGGUUAGAGAACACUACUUGCCAGUAAGAGUUGAAGAAAGUUUGAUAAGGAAAGAACUAAUUGACUUGGGUUUUGAAGCAUGAACAGGAGUUUGUCUGAUAACAAAAAAAUUAAAUAUGUGGAAUUAUAUAGACCCAGAAGAAUAGGAUGGACUUUAACUGUGGAAAGUGAUAAUGACCUGUUUGGAAGCCUCCUCAAAUCUGAACUCUAUCCUCUUAAGUCAGGGCUUGGCAAACUUUUUCUAUAAAGAACCAAAUAGUUUACACAUUAGGUUUUUGUUGGCCAUAUAAUCUGUCACAACUAUUCAACUCUGCUGUCAUAGUGUGAAAGCGGCCAUAUGCGAAACAUGAAGAAAUGAGUGUGGCGUGUUCUAAUAAAGCCUGCCUUUACAAAAAUAGCAGAAGGCCAGAGCUGCCCACGGGUUACAGUUUGUGGAUGCUUGCUCUGAGCAACAGGAAACCACCAAGGUCUAUAAGCAAGGAAGUGACAGGAUCAAAUCUGUAAUUCAGAAGAGAAUUUUGGUGGCAGCAAGGAGGAACUGAAGAGGAAUGUUAAAGAGACACUUGCCAUAGUUCUGGACGGAGAGAAAAUAAGAAUGCAAACUGAGGACAAGUUGUACAAACUAAGGGAAAUGCUUUAGAGAAAUAUUAAAGAAGUGUUAGCAAUAGGCAGGAAGAAGUUAAAAAGACAUUAGGUUUCUUGGUUAGGUGUCCAGAGGCUGGUGAAAGACCAUUAAUCAAAACAGGGACUGGAGGAACAAGGACUGAAAUGGAAUAAAUCAAACACCAUGCAUGUAUGAUUUUCUGAAUAUGAACCCAACUACUAUGUAUAACUAUAAUGCUCUAAUUGGGGGGGGGGGGAAGUGGGGCAGGGGACUAUUAAGAGGGAGAAUGGGAGAGAGAGUUAGAUGGGGAGUGAUAUAGUUGAUAUUAAUGAAGGACAUGCAGUAUGGGGAUGUACAGAGGACAACUGAAAUUUGAAAGAGUGGUUUAAGGCAGAGAUAAAGAUUAUAAAUGUUCUCAAUAGUAAGGCAAUACCUGAAAUCAUGAAGGUAGCUAAGGUAUCUCAAGGAGAAAAGGUAGAAGAGGACUGGGUUUCAAAUCAGUGUUUACCUCUCAAAAUUUCCUGUCUUCCUUGAAUCAGUAUGUGUCUAGCAUGAGAGGAGACCUUCACAAACAUUAAAUCAGCAAAAGCUCCUCAAGAGCAUGUUCUGGAUAUUUACAGAAUAUCUCCUAUGGGCAAGGCACAGGGGGGAAAUAAAGAUUAAUAAAACUUAGUCUUCGUCAUCAGGGGAUUUACAUGCUAGUACAAUAAUCAGUUAACACUUUUUAAAAUUAAAUUAUAAUUUUUUCAUUUAAAAAUCUGUUACAAGGCUGGGGUUGUUGCUCAAUGGUAGAAUGUUUGCCUAGUAUGUGUAAGGCACUGGGUUUGAUACUCCACACCACAUACAAAUAAAUAAAUAAAGGUCCAUCAACAACUAAAAACAAUUUUAAAAACCUGUUACAAAAAAUCAAUGCAAUAAUAAAAUAGAAAAAUAAUUCAAGAUACUGGUCUACACAGCUACAGCAAAACAAAUUUAAUCAAACAACAAAAAUAGAAUCUAAGCCAGGCGUGUGGCACAUGCCUGGGAUCAGCACCUCGGCCGGCUGAGGCAGGAGGACCGUGAGUUCAAGGCCAGCCUCAACAAAUGUGAGGUACCAAGCAACUCAGUGAGACCCUGUCUCUAAAUACAAAAAUGGACAGGGGAUGUGGCUCAGUGGUUGAGUGCCCGAGUUCAAAACCCCCCACCCAAAAAAAAAAAAAAAAAAACUAUGAUAAAAUAGAAUCUAUAUCUUCCCACUACUACUGUUACUACCACCAGCACUGACUAUUAGUUAUAGGUUGUUUACAGAAGCCAAGCUCUUUACAGGCUACUCCACUCUUCUUAGAAAUAUUCUUUACAUGAGUAUUCCUUAGUCAGUUAUUAUUAUUAUCUCACAUUAUUGAAAAGGUUUAGAGAAUAGUUAGCUUGCCAAGGUCACACAGUUAGCAAGGGGAAAAGCAGGCUUUCCACUAAAGUUCACAUGUGAUUCCAAAAUCUGUGCUCAUGACUAUAACACUCUAUUGGCGUCCAUCAGGUAUAGUGUCACAGCAUUUCUCUCAUUUCAGAUUUCAUGGGGAGACAGUUACUGUCUUGCCUAUGAUGAAGAUAGCAGAAGAACAUGAACAAGAAAAGAAAUAUCCCCUAUCUAAAGGAACACUGUAAGCACUUGGAAAGAGAAGACAGCAGUCUGCAAUGACCUUGAUGAUUACUGCUGAAUCAAACCUUGCCAGCAGAAUCUGAAGAACACAGUUUUCUUCUUGAGUUAGGUAUAAACCUAGUUUCUAAGCACUCCCAAUGUGAAUGUUUUAUAGGUCUUAAAAUCUAACAACAUUAAUUAUUCAGAGACCUAAGUACUUUUUUAAAAAACAUUUUACAUAUUUAAUCUCAGGGAAUGCUUACUUACCUACUGAAUUGUAGAUCACAAAAAAAAAAAUUAGCAAGCACCCCAAUUUGUGUGAAAAAUUUACAUUGAAAAUCAAAGUAAAAGAUAGUGUGAAUUUUUCAAGAGACUUUAUUUUAUAACUGCCCUCAGAAGCAUCUUUUUUUAACAACUUUUAAUUACUAAAAAAAUGUAGAUUAUUUGGUGACUCCUCCCCUCCACUGUUUCUCAAUGAUUUAUAACUUUAAACUCCCAGUCCCAGAUUCAUACAUUUAACUGCCUGUUUGACAUCUUGUCUGUCUCAAAAUCAUCUUAAAAUCAAUGUGUCUAAACCUGAGUUCAAUUCUCUUCCAAACAUGACCCUACUCCGGCUUCUCUACAAUGAAUGAACCACCAUUCACUCUGUUACACAAGCUAGAAACCCAGGCAUCUUCCUUGCUAUUUCUCUCUCAACUCUCACAUCCAAUCUACCACCUGAUACGUCCUAAAUAUUUCUGGAGUAUAAUUUAAUUUCUGUCCAUCUCCACCACCACCAUGACCUGAGUACUAUUCUCUCUCAUCUGUCCUAUUACAAUAGCCUCCCAACUGACCUAUCCAUGUGCACUGCUGCCCUCAUCAAUCAGUCCUCCAUACUACAGCUAGAAUGACUUUUUAUAAAAUAGAACAAAUCUGGUUAUCUUCCUCCCGCUUAAAAUAUUUAAUUGUCUUCUCAUCUGACUUAACAUAAAGACAAAACUCCAUAGAGUUUUGUCCUUCCUCAUAAUAAAUUUUCUCUUUCCUCUUAAAAAAAAAGAGAGAAUGAUUGAAUGGUAUUCUAUUCAUAUAAUAAAAUCAUGCUUAUUGAUACAAAAACAUGAGUAAUAAUACAUUCAGCAACAUAAAUGAAUGUCCAAAAUCUUUAUUUUUCCAAAACAUAUUCACUGAAGAACACAUGUUUGUUUGUUUUUUUGAGAAUAUUCAUUUUUAUGAGGUUCAAUAGGCCAAACCUACCUGUGGUGAUGGAAGUUGAUUGGCACCCCUGAUGACAGGCUCCUUGCUGAUGCCCAACAUAUAGGUUCUGCAGCCUCGGUGUCUAGGCCAGCCCCUGUGACCCCAUGUUCCAGUGGACCCAGGAUCCAGGCUCUACCCCAAGAGGUCCCAGUGCCAGGCUGGCUCCCAUGAACCAAGGCUCCAUGACCAGACUUAAGGACCCAGGCUCCAGGCCUGACCCACUACCAGACUGACUUCCUAAGCCAGUUCCUAUGUCCCUAGAUAUAUGUAACCCAGGGUCAAGGCCAACUCAGCAAAUCCAAGAUGUAUAUCUUCCACUCUAGUAAACCCUGGUGAGAUCUAUAGCUACAUCAAUAUCUGUAUAUAACUAUUUGUUUUUAUAUUUUAAUAAAGCUGACAGAAAAAUGACUAAAAGAAAUUAUCUGAAAUAGUCCCUCUUUGCUUUGUAAAUCUAUGGCACCCCUUUAAUUUUGAAAAAUAAGUGAUGCACUGAAUGGAUUUUUUUGUGUUCUUACUUUAAAUUUAAGUUAACAAUUUCUGGGUUUUGACAGGACAGAUUUUUUCUAUCCUUUAUUUUAUUCUGGUAUGUGUUGUGUGUGUGUAUGUGUAUGUGUGUGUGUGUGUGUGUAGAACUAAAGAAAUAAUUCUGGAUCAAUUGUAUCAUGAGGGAUUUUAUUUUCCCUUUUAUUUUUUCCAAAAGCAAGUCUUUUAUCCUUUAAUCUCCGUUAAAAGACCCUACAGGGAAAUUACCAAAUAUGAACAAAACUAGCUUUUCUGUGGAGAGCACCCAUCCAAAAUAAAACUGCUUUCUUUGGGCUAGACUAAAAUCACAAGAUAAGAACUGUUAAUUUAACUGGUACGCUGACUUUCUAUAAACUGAAUGCUUAAUAAACUUAAAUGGAAAAAAGAACUUCUAUUUUAUCUUUUUAUUAUCUUAUUCUUGUUAUUCUAAGAGACUUGUUUAUAUNCGAUUUGUCAAUUAAAAAUAAUAAAUAAGGGCUGGGAUUGUGGCUCAAGCGGUAGCGCGCUCGCCUGGCAUGCGUGCGGCCCGGGUUAGAUCCUCAGCACCACAUACAAAAACAAAGAUGUUGUGUCCACCAAAAACUAAAAAAUAAAUAUUAAAAAAUUAUCUCUCUCUUAAAAAAUAAUAAUAAUAAUAAAUAAGCUGAUGGUGAAAAAAAAAAUGACUCUAACAGGAAAAGAACAAUAUUAUGCCAUAGUGUCCAAUUCCAAUUUAACAAACUGAUAAAAUGGCUUAAAUCCUUUUUUGGCCUAAAAUUUGGUUACUUAAAUAAGGGAGUCUGUUUUUACAUAAAAGAAUUUUCCCUCAGCUGGGUACAGUGGCACAUGCCUAUAAUUCCAGCAACUGGGGAAACUGAGGCAGGAGAGUCACAAGUUCAAGGCCAACCUCAUCAACUUAGUGAGACCCUGUCUAAAAAUUAAAAAACACAACGGCUAAUAAUGUAGCUCAGUUGCAAAUACACCUAGGUUCAGUCCCCAUACCCAAUCAUCAUCAUCAUCAUCAAUAAACUGACCACUUAUAAAAAUUGGAGAUAAAAAGCAUCAUUUUGGUGACAAAAAAAAAUUGCUGUGACACUAUACUCAAACACUUUAUUUCUUAAAAUCAUCCUCCCUGCUUCCAAGUCUAUAUGUUACCAGAAUUUUCUCUCUAAAUCUCAAAUUGGAUCAUGCAUCCAUGCAAAAUUUGCCACAGCCUAUAAGCUAAAGUCUAAUAUAAUAUAAACAGAGUACUUAAUAUUCUUCCCUUAAUAUGAUGUUCCUAACUCCCACUACUUCGACAUACUCUCUACUGCAAUCAUAAAGAAAUAGUAGGGAAAAGGCACACUAUUUGUUGAAUACCUACUUUUAGUGAAGCAAACUACGAAAUACCUUAUAUACAUAAAUAUGUAUUUUCAAAAUAUAUUUUACACACAGACACACACACAGAGCUCCCCUUCCUUGGAAUGCCCCUUUCAUUUUGUAUCUAUAGGCAAACUUCCAAUUCAACCUUUAGGACUCAUCAAAUCACAGGCAUCAUAGCUUUAAUGCUUUGAAGGGUGGUUUUCUGAGGGGUUUUUGUUCAUUUAUUCAUUUAUUUUAAAAAUUGUACAGUCAUGGGCUGGGGAUGUGGCUCAAGUGGUAGCGCGCUCGUCUGGCAUGCGUGCGGCCCGGGUUCGAUCCUCAGCACCACAUUCCAACAAUAAAAAUUGUACAGUCAUCAUAUUGCAAAGUAAUAUGUGUAUGUUCAACAAAGAGAACUCAAACACUUGGGGGGGGGGGGAAUGAACAUGGGAAGCCCUGCUUCUAGUCCUGACUCUGACAUUUGCUAACUGUGCAACACUGCCUGACCAGGGGUUGCUCUAAACCAGUUGUCCCCAUAUAGGCCCAUGGACCACUGUACCAGGCUAUCUUUACAUUCAUGAGCAAAAUUUUAAGUGAAAGAAAAAAAAAGGUGUGUGUGUGUGUUGGGGGCAGGGGGUAAAUGGAACUCUCCCUUAAAAGAUCAGAAAGUCAGGAAUAAGAACAAAACUCCAUAUUUUUAAAUUUCCCAAUUUGGAAAAUUCCCCUCAUUAAUGAUCAGCAAAGUACAGUAAUUAUUGCACCAAAUUACCUCCAGGUUCCCUUUCAUUGUUAAGACUCGAAGCAUGGGUAUCUCUCCGGUAAUAGAGCAAUCUCCAAGAGCAAUAUGAGGUAGAAACUUCAAAGGAUUUCAUCAUUAAUUUCAUGUAGUCAAAAACACACUAUUAAUAAAAUGAAAUGUGUAAACCUUGACUGAUCAUGGUUCAACAAAAAUUAUUUUAAAGGCAGUCUUCAGUCAAUGAGGGAAAUCUGAGCACAGGUCAGACAUCAGAGAAUACUACAGAACUAUUUCCUUGGAUGUAAUAAUGGUAGAACUGUGAGUUUGUAAAGAAAAUUGCUUUGUUUAUAAAUUUAUUUCUAUGUCUGAAUGUUGGUAUGCCCCCAAAUUUCAAAUAUGAAGAUCCUAACCCUCACCCAGGGUGAUGGUAUUGGGAGAUGGGGGCCUUUGGGAGUGAUUAGGUCAGAAGGGUAGAGCCCUCAUACGUCGAAUUAGUGUCUUAAAAAAAAAGAGGCCCACCAAGAGAUCCUUUCAAGCUUCCAUCACAUGAGGAUACAAUCAGAUGGCUUUGUCUAUGAACCAGCCAGCCUUCACCAGACACCAAAUGUUCCAGCACCUUGAUCUUGGACUUCCCAGUCUUCCGAACUAUAAAAAGUAAAUUUGUUACUUAUAAGUUACCCAGUUUAUGGUAUCGUGUUAUAGCAGCCCAAAUGGACUAAGUCAGAAAGCCAAAAAGUGGAAAUGGUUGUAACACUUAAAAAUGUGAAGGCAGCUUUGGAAAUGGGUAAGAGGUAAGGCUAAAAGUUUGGAGUUGCAUGCUGGAAAAAGGUUACCUUGUCACAAUGAACCAUUCUGUGACUAGUGAAAGCUCAGAAGGAAGAGGAGUGUUGCAACAGAGCCUCAAUUUUCUGCAGUGGGAAAAGGGGUUAUGAACAGAAGGUUGGCAGAAAUAUGGACAGUAGGACCAUUCCAUUGAUAUCUCGGACAGAGAUGAGAAACCUAUCAUGGGACAAUAAAGGAAAGGCAAUCAUUACUACAAAGUAUCAAAGAACUUGGUUUGCCAGAUACACUGGCACACACCUAUAAUCCCAGUGGCUAGGGAGGCUGAGGCAGGAGGAUCACCAGUUCAAAGCCAGCCUCAGCAACAGCAAGGUACUAAACAACUCAGUGAGACCCUGUCUCUAAAUAAAAUACAAAAUAGGGCUGGGGCUGGGGCUCAGUGGUCGAGUACCACUGAGUUCAAUUCCCAGUACCAAAAAAAAAAAAAAAAAGAACUUGGUUAAAUUAUGUUUUUAUUUUAGUCUUUUAUGGAAGGUAAAGGUUGUGAGUAUUUGACUAAGAAAAAUGUUAUUUUGUUUUGCUAAAACAGAUUCUUGCUAUGUUGUCCAGGCUGCCAUCAAACUUCUGGGCUCAAAAAAAUCCUCCUGCUUCAGCCUCCUGAGUACCUGGGACAGAGGGAGCUGGCUUAAAAUUUCUAAGUAAUGUUGACAACGUGACUUGGUGUCUCUGGUGUGCUUAUACUAAAGACAAAGAUAACUUAAAAAUGGAAUUUUUAACCAAAAAACAAGCAGAACUUAAAAACAGAAAAUUUUCUCAGCAUAUCCAUACAGAAAAAAAUUAGUAAGAGAAAACAAAGGUGUGGUCAAGUGACCAUCAGAUAAGGAGAUUAGUACAGAGCAGUCAUCUCAGUGGAAGCCAGGUGUUAUUCACCAAGACAUCAAGAAGAACCUCAAAGGUAACUGAGAAAUCAUCAGGACUGCCACGCCAUUACAGACCCCAAAUUCAAAAGCUGUAGCAAGGAGUAAAUCACGCAUGCUGACAAUGUCAGCAACAUUCUAUCACACAGUUUAGGAAAAUAAUAAUAAUGUAAACCAAAUGUGGUAAGAUAUUAACAAUGUCAAAGUUACUGUUCUUUCAUUAAACUUCUCCAAAUGUUUCAAUG